Molecule: non-coding RNA, 49 nt
Organism: Bacteroides uniformis CAG:3
Lineage: Bacteria; Pseudomonadati; Bacteroidota; Bacteroidia; Bacteroidales; Bacteroidaceae
Source: Rfam
GCCCUAUUGACGGAUUGAACGGCAACUGAUAGCGAGAAUCGGGUAGGGC